UAAGCAUAUCUAGUGUUUCAAUAUGUAUUGUCAUUCCUCUGUAUAUUAUGUAUGUUGUACGUAUAUGGAUGAACACUAUAUUGUAUCAAUAUAAUUUAAUUUCCAUUAUGUACUUACACUUCAUACUGUGUAUCAGUGUUUCUCACUUCUUCUCUUCUAUAGUAGCCAGACUGUAAAUCUAGAUUUUGCUGACACACACACACACACAUACACACAAUGUUGGGCAGGUACAGUAAUGGCACAAAAUACCAGUAGAUCAGAAAUGAACACAGACAGCAACUUAGAACUGCAGUGACAACAACAUUUUGCCCAGGCAAGAGCUUUAUAAAUAUUACUCAUCACACGCAUGAACAUUUCUUAUACAAGUUUAGUUUAGUUUAAUAUGUUUAUUAUGCACCCCAUACCCAUCCUGUGGGCGGUAGUCAAAAGAUUACAGAGGUACAUAAUUGGUCCAGGGACUGGACUCCAAAGUUUUGAUAGCUGAGCAAGUUACAAAGGUAAUGAACUAGAUCUGGUCAUAAUCAUGACCAAGUUACAAGAAGAGACAUUAUUAUUAGAGCAAGAAGCUGAGAGGAUCUGUUCCACUAUCAAUACAGCCAUACAACACACAGAGUAGCUCAGAACUAACUGAUUCACCUCAUAAGCUAGAAAGUGUAGCUCAACAUCUGGAAGGUUCCUCUGCUGAAAGUGGGUCAGUAGAAGUUGAUACAGGUGGAACUGCAGAGGAGGCACGAGCAUGUGUAAGGCAGUAUUUUGUACAGUUGAGAGAUCAACUUAACUAGCAGGAAACACAAGCAAUGACCUACUAGACCACAUCUGGAUCAACACCAUAUCCCCUUUAAAAUCAGAUGGUAGCUGUGGUUAUUGACGGAGAACGUGCUACUCAAGAAGACGAUAGUAAGUUGAUAAUGGCCUCCCAGGAUCUUUCACCUCAACUAGCUCAUGUUACUUCUCAGGAGCAGAAGUUAGCUCACCUAGUAUCACUGGUCCCAAACCCAGCUAUACCUAUUACACUUACAAAGGAUAAUCGUAUCCACAUUUGAGCCAGAAUAGAGAUGCGUGUUGUAACUCUUGGUCUCGAUGGCGCAGGCAAGACAUCCAUUCUUUUUAAAUUGAAGGAAGACGAGUUUGUUUCAACAAUACCCACUGUUGGUUUCAAUGUUGAAGCUAUAGAAUAUAAAAACUUUAAAAAUAUUCUAAAAUAUUCUCCCUCAACUACCUCAAGUCAUACCUCAGCAACAGAAGCCAAUAUGUGUACGCAAAUGGAGCAAACUCUUCUGCACAACCAAUUACAGUUGGUGUCCCACAGGGAAGUGUCCUUGGCCCUUUUCUCUUUCUCCUAUACAUAAAUGACCUACCAAAUGCUUCGCAAUUACUCAAACCCACACUAUU
Non-coding RNA from Cherax quadricarinatus, 1392 nucleotides. Lineage: Eukaryota; Metazoa; Arthropoda; Malacostraca; Decapoda; Parastacidae. The record is from RefSeq and is a predicted model, not a curated record.